This 85-nucleotide transfer RNA is filed under the name Felis catus (domestic cat). It matches the Rfam family "tRNA". From Rfam's summary of the family: Transfer RNA (tRNA) molecules are approximately 80 nucleotides in length. Their secondary structure includes four short double-helical elements and three loops (D, anti-codon, and T loops). Lineage: Eukaryota; Metazoa; Chordata; Mammalia; Carnivora; Felidae. The record is from Rfam by way of RNAcentral.
GCCUGGGUGGCUCAGUCGGCUGAGCGUCCGACUUCAGCUCAGGUCAUGUUCUUGCGGUUUGUGGGUUCGAGCCCCUCAUUAGGCU